UUCAAUGGCAGCUCAGGUGAGGCAGCCUUCGGGCUGGCCGGAUCUGGUAGGCCGGUAUUUCCACCCUUGUCUGGGCUGCCACCAAU
RNAcentral lists this non-coding RNA (86 nucleotides) under Klebsiella michiganensis. RNAcentral also lists the same sequence under 1 other name. The record is from RNAcentral. Lineage: Bacteria; Pseudomonadati; Pseudomonadota; Gammaproteobacteria; Enterobacterales; Enterobacteriaceae.